CGUUCCCGGGCCUUGUACACACCGCCCGUCACAUCAUGGGAGUUGGUUUUACCCGAAGUUACUGACCCGACCGCGAAGGAGGGAGGUACCUAAGGUAAGGCCGAUGACUGGGAGUG
RNAcentral lists this ribosomal RNA (116 nucleotides) under uncultured bacterium. RNAcentral describes it as "partial 16S ribosomal RNA". It matches the Rfam family "Bacterial small subunit ribosomal RNA", at positions 1369 to 1482 of the family's 1533-position model. The record is from RNAcentral.